UUCAACUAGAGCAAUCUACUAAACUACCUUUUGGAGGAACCAUUUGUUACCUCCUUGCUGCAGUAAAAUUUCAUGCAGUAUCCAGAAAUUGAAAUUCUGUAUCUGUCUGCACUCCCUGUGACCAGACAUGAACUGAUACAAAAAUAGUAAUAAUCAAUAGCGAUGACAAGCUUUGAAUUCACUGCGCUCAGGUCGUAGGGCAGGCUGCCCAGCCUCUCUUCAUAUGAUAGCUCCCAGUCUUGGAAAAGAUCGAGGCUAAAUAGGUCACUGCCUUGCCCGAAGGCUCACAAAAUGCCAUUUGUCUUCAGCUAUAAAAAUCAUAAAUAGAAAAUGUAGAGACUCAAGGUCUUCAUCUGGUCUCCUCCAAACAAUCCAUCAAUCCAUCCCUUCUCUCAGAGCUUCAGUUGCACUUACACUCUGUGUCACUCACUCUCACAGUAAACCCUACAGUCUUUGCUUUCUCUGUGUGUCUGUCUUCCUGCCCCAGUCUCCUGUGUUAUUGGUAGCAGCAGGGACCAUCGACUACUCUCUCUUUGCUUUCCAUUUCGGCUCUUGGUGUGAUGUGAACGGGAGGAACAUGAAUUCAUUCAACAAACAUCCGCUGCCGAUUCUACUGUGUUCCAGCCACUGUCACCAGAGAUACAACGGUAAACAGGACAAGGUCCUGCCCCCAGAGAACUGAAAUCGAGAGGGAGAGAGAGAGGCAGGCAAACAGGCAAGUACCGUCAAAUGUGGUGUGUGAUCCUUGAAGCCAGCAGCGGGGUCACGAGAGCACAUUUGGCGGGAUUCGAGCUGGUUGUAAGGAGUCCGGGAAGAGCUCUGGGCGAAGCUACUUCUGACAAGAAAUCCGGAGCUCACCUGUUGUUAGAAAGAAGUACUCUAGUGUUUGGAGGCUGGGACGUCAGUUCAUAACGUGUAUAUCAGCCAGCCUGUCGCUGUCAAUAAUGUGACAAACCCAGCCAGAGUCUGCCCCUUGCUUGGCCUGUCAAAUGAGACGUCACCUCCUGCAGCUGCCUGGCGUUCAGGACUUCAGAACAUUCAUGUCUGGAACCCACUGUGAGGUUCCUUUUGGACCUGAGAGUCUAGUGUUUCUGUUGGGGCGACCCUUUCUCCUGUGCUGGUCGUGCCCGGACGCAGACGUCCUGGAGGAGCAACAUCCUUGUCUGGUUCUCGCGUGAGGCUGCCCGGCUUCACCAUGGCCUUAACCGUGAACCUGCUGGUCGGACACACCAUGUUCCUCCUCCGUCUCCUAGGAGCUCCACCCACUGCCCUCGCUGACAUCUGAGUGUGCAGAGUGGCCGUGUUUAUCCAGUUUGGCAAGUUGUGGAGUUGAGGUGAAAGUCUGGAAAGUCCAGUCCCCUGGACACCGAGGUCCAGCUGAUGUUCCAGAGUCCAAGUUCUGCCGGGGGUGGUGAUGGGGUCAUGGGCAGGGACAUGUUGGCCAGUGGUCAGGACCCCGCUCUCCAGGGAAAGAACCAGCACGCGCGCACAGUUUAUGAUACAAGCUGAUGUGAAGGACGGUGGUACACAGACGACAAAGAUGAUAAUAUGCUGAGAUCAUGUGAUAACAGAAGGAAUGCUUGUGCCCCGUUCUUUGAGCGUUUCCUGAAUCUGCCGGUUUUCAGUGGCCUUCCGCUCAGAAUAAUACUACACCAGAGGGGCACAUUUUGGAUUGAUGCGGUACCAGGGCUCUGCAAAUUAAAUUGACGGACAACAGAUUAACAGGAGCAAAAGUUUUAUCAUGUCUGUGUACAGAGCCCUUCACAGAAAAGAAGUGGAGAUGCAAAGAGACACUUAGACUUAAGGACUUGUGUGCUGUUAAUAAAGGGUGAUCAGUUUCCGGAGAAGUCACAAGACAAAGGAAAACAAGUUUCAGUUUCCAACGACCGGAAGUUGUGGGAAGCGAUGGUGCCGGCCGAGCUGUGCCAGAGCAACCAAGGCAAAAGCGUCGUGCACAGAAUGACCGAGAACUUUGACCAGGUGCCGUGGACUCCUCAGAGGCAGUGACCCAGGACUGAGGCCCCCGAGCAUCCUUCUGAGUGUCGCCGCCCCGGUGCCCCUCUCACGGGAGUUGCUGUCAGGCUUGAUGGUUGAAGCAGCCAUGGUAUCGAGAUUUCACUGGUAGAAACUAUUCCUUUUCUUCCCUGGGAGAAGCAGGCCUCCUACUUUGUUGGGGAGAUCCCCCUUUUAAUAAACAAAAAUGAUAAGCUUAAAUUAUAUAUUAAGAAUUACUUUAGGGUCUUCCGUGGUGGCGCAGUGGUUUAGAAUCCACCUGCCAAUGCAGGGGACACAGGUUCGAGCCCUGGUCCGGGAAGAUCCCACAUGCUGCGGAGCAACUAAGCCCGUGCGCCACAGCUACUGAGCCUGUGUUCUAGAGCCCGCAUGCCACAACUACUGAGCCCAAGUGCCACAACUACUGAAACCCACAUGCCGCAAUUACUGAGCCGCGCGCCUAGAGCCCGUGCUCCACAACAAGAGAAGCCACCACAAUGAGAAGCCUGCUCACUGCAAUGAAGAGUAGCCCCCGCUCGCCGCAACUAAAGAAAGCCCGCGCCCAGCAACAAAAGACCCAACGCAGCCAAAAAUAAAUAAAAUAAAAUAAAUUAAUUUAAAAAAAGAAUUACUUUAUAUACACAUAAAGAAUAAUCAUAAAGAUCAGGAAACAGAACGUGACGAGUGGACACUCAGGAGCGCCCUUCCCUCCUCACAGCAUCCUCCCCUCCGUGAGGUAGCUGUUCUCCCGAUGAUUUUGUGUCAGUGACUUGUCCUCAGAGUUUUCGCCCAGGGACACAUCCCUAGAUAACGCAGCCCAGC
Physeter macrocephalus (sperm whale) is the source of this 2814-nucleotide long non-coding RNA. RefSeq lists it as uncharacterized. The record is from RefSeq and is a predicted model, not a curated record. The transcript is spliced from 6 exons. NCBI's taxonomy places the organism in Eukaryota, Metazoa, Chordata, Mammalia, Artiodactyla, Physeteridae.